GUAGGGGGCAAGCGUUAUCCGGAUUUACUGGGUGUAAAGGGAGCGUAGACGGAUUAGCAAGUCUGAUGUGAAAGGCAGGGGCUCAACCCCUGGACUGCAUUGGAAACUGCCAGUCUUGAGUGCCGGAGAGGUAAGCGGAAUUCCUAGUGUAGCGGUGAAAUGCGUAGAUAUUAGGAGGAACACCAGUGGCGAAGGCGGCUUACUGGACGACAACUGACGGUGAGGCGCGAAAGCGUGGGGAGCAAACAGGAUUAGAUACCCUGGUAGUCCACGCGGUGAACGAUGAUUACUAGGUGUCGGGGGUUUAUAAACCUUCGGUGCCGCCGCAAACGCAAUAAGUAAUCCACCUGGGGAGU
RNAcentral lists this ribosomal RNA (356 nucleotides) under uncultured bacterium. RNAcentral's name for it is "bacterial SSU rRNA". It matches the Rfam family "Bacterial small subunit ribosomal RNA", at positions 527 to 881 of the family's 1533-position model. The record is from RNAcentral.